AUUGUCACACCCAUUAAGGGCUACAUGAAAGCCCUUGCUGUUCACAAGGCUAAUAUUGCUCACUGUCGCAUUUGACACAUCACUCAGCUUCAAAGACUGCUCAUAUAAGGGAAACUUGCAUCAAUGUAUGGAAAUGUGUAAAAAUGGUUAAAGCUUUGGUGUCUUUGAUGGGAGAGAAGCAGAUGAUCACAGCAAAUUCAGAUAGAAAAUUCCACAAAAAAGGUGAAUUUUCAACUUUUUAAAUUUACCCUCUGAUUCAUUUUUUAACUUGUUCAUACUUACUGUGGUGAAAAUGCCACAACUCAAGCGAUGGCGGCAGUUGAAACCAUACAACCAGGUUUCAGCACCCUGGCCGUCGAGAAUGCCGGAUCCGAUGUUGCCGGUGAUGGUGAGCUGGCGGAGGGACUUGAAGUAGAUCCAAACGUCGGCGGUGAGGGUGGUGGGAGCAAUCAAAGUGCCUAAAAUGAUGACUUUGGGAGAGAGAUCACCGAAACAAGGGCCUGAAAAUAACACUUGGGCAAGGAAGAAGCUGCCCUCUGGUAUUAAAAAGGUGGAGCUUCCUCUCAAUUGCCCCAUAAUCAGUUACAUCAAAAACUGCCAGUCCCCUCCAUGGAUCUCCGCCGGGGGGCUCCGCCAUGUCCGGUGGCAGAAGAAGAAAAUCCCAUGAACCGGCAGCAGAUUCCAGUGCUGGUUCCGGCGAGAAAUUACGUCCAGAUACAGAAACAGCCAGAAGAAAAUAGAAGAUUACCAGAGAUGAAAGCUUCAUGGUUUUUGAGAAUUUUGAGAUUCUCCUCACCAAGAAAAUGGCGAUAAUUGGCCAUUUAUAUUCUAAUGAAUUCUUAACUGAAGUAAUUACGAUUAAUUAAUUACUUGGACUGGUUCGUUUCUGGUCGUAUCUAAUUUAAUUCUGGAUUACCAUCUC
Cucurbita maxima (winter squash) is the source of this 922-nucleotide long non-coding RNA. RefSeq lists it as uncharacterized. Lineage: Eukaryota; Viridiplantae; Streptophyta; Magnoliopsida; Cucurbitales; Cucurbitaceae. The transcript has 2 exons. The record is from RefSeq and is a predicted model, not a curated record.